GGAGUAAAGCCAAAAUAGAGGCGGGUCUCUGUUACAGAUCAGAUUGGAGUUUUCCUGCCCCUGU
This 64-nucleotide transfer RNA is filed under the name Sphaeroma terebrans. RNAcentral's name for it is "tRNA-Asn". Lineage: Eukaryota; Metazoa; Arthropoda; Malacostraca; Isopoda; Sphaeromatidae. The record is from RNAcentral.